CAGUCGCCGCGGGAAUACGGAGGGGGCUAGCGUUGUUCGGAAUUACUGGGCGUAAAGCGCACGUAGGCGGCUUGGUAAGUUAGAGGUGAAAGCCUGGAGCUCAACUCCAGAAUUGCCUUUAAGACUGCCGAGCUAGCAGGUGAGAGAGGUAAGUGGAAUUCCGAGUGUAGAGGUGAAAUUCGUAGAUAUUCGGAAGAACACCAGUGGCGAAGGCGGCUUACUGGCUCAUACUGGACGCUGAGGUGCGAAAGCGUGGGGAGCAAACAGGAUUAGAGACCCCCGUAGUCCCUGUCUCUUAUAC
This 301-nucleotide ribosomal RNA is filed under the name uncultured bacterium. RNAcentral's name for it is "partial 16S ribosomal RNA". It matches the Rfam family "Bacterial small subunit ribosomal RNA", at positions 509 to 807 of the family's 1533-position model. The record is from RNAcentral.